Molecule: non-coding RNA, 9684 nt
Organism: Callithrix jacchus (white-tufted-ear marmoset)
Lineage: Eukaryota; Metazoa; Chordata; Mammalia; Primates; Cebidae
Source: RefSeq, a predicted model, not a curated record
UUUCUCCCAUGCGUGGCCCCCAAAGCCGAGCCCAGCUCCUCGGGUGUUUGCAUCCAAGGUGCUCGCAGCGACCCGGCCUCCUCCGGUCCCCACGGCAUACCCGGGGGCCGCGCUGGGCAGGGCGGUCCGCAGCUCGGGGCGGGGGGCACGUUCUGUUCCCCGCUUUCUGGCGGGGACCGCAGGCUGCAGCCCCGGCGGCUCCUGCUCGCGCCUGGCUGGCGGAGAUGAGAGCCGGCUGCAGGGCUGGGACCGAGGCAGCAAUACACAGAACAAACAGAAUUUUUUUUUGCAACUAGAGGGGGAAGCACAGAGCUAAAAAUAAAACGAAAAGAUCAGUAUCUGUCAGUCUGACAGCUGAUUGGCUGCUCGGAGAUGCAUAUAAUUACCAGCAACUGGCGCUGGGUAGGCAAAGCCGGGAGAAACUGCUGAGACGAGAGUCUUGCUUGGUCGCCAGGCUGGAGGGCAGUGGCUCAACCUCGACUUACUGCAGCCUCCACCUCCUGGAUUCAAGCAAUUCUCCUGAUUCAGCCUCCCAAGUAGCUGAGACUACAGGUAAGGAGGUUCGUGGCUCGCCACGCCAUGCAGACGUAAAGAGGGAUAUCCACCCAGAAGGCCAUACCGAUCACACCGAGGAUCCUCCUACUCCCUGUUCUGCCGCUAUUUAUUGAGCACAUACUACUUGCCAGGCAAGGAGCCAAGUGCUGUACAAGACUGCCCUAUUUCAAUCCAACAGCAUACCUAGAGGGGAGGCGUAUUGAGCUUUCUUUUACGGGAAACAGGGAGGUUGAUGCAUUUGCCCAAGAUCACACAGCUCCCAAGAUCACACAGCUCCCAAGGAGUGGAGCCUGACUGAAUCAGGCCGCCUGCCUCCAGAGCAUGGGUGCUCGGCCAUCCUUCUCUGCACUUGGCUUAGAGACCCGGCCCGGUGAUCUUGGGUUAGUCCCCUAAGCCCCAGAGUGGCAAAAGGAAGAGGAAGUAUCUUCAGGACCCAGUGAAGGGGGCUCAGAGAGGGGCCAACUCUCACUCCAGGGCACACAGCCAGCCGAGCCAGGACCCACAACACUCACUCCCCGGCCCCUGGCUCCCCGUAGGUGGCUUCUCCGUGGCCAGGAAGGACCCCCACGGCCGCUCCUGCAGGCAGAUGGACAGACGAUGGCCCCCUCCCACGGCCUGCGGGCUGUGUGGCAUCGCCACCUCCUCCCGAGCAGGCUGCCUUGAAGAAACCAGAAGAUUGAUUUCCUGGCAGGCUCUGCGCCGAGGAGCCCGUCCAAAUGGUUUGCAUGUCUGCAUUUUUUACUGCUCCGUUUAAUAUGUAUGCAAAUGCCGGCCGGCUGCGCCCGCCGCGCGGCUGCACAGUCACACGCGGCGCCCCAUUAAAGCGGCCGUCCCGGGCGCGCGCCUCAUUCGAGGCGACGGGCUCCGGGCCCUGAUAGAUGGGGUGCGGGGACGGAGACAAAUGACGGCCUUUGGCUUCUAACUUCCUCGGCACGGUGUCAUUUGAGUUUCACAUUAGCCCAUGAGAAGCUGGGAAUACCUGACUUUCUGGGAAGGCAGCCCAUCAAGCCCCAGCCUCACGUUUCGAGCCCUCACUCAACAUGCCUUCGCUCUGGUUUGAACGCCUGUGACCAGUGUGCACCUGCAGAUCAGGGUGAGUAUGGGGCUGUGUACACACGAGUUGGUGUGCACACGUGUGUGUCAGUGCGCCUGUGUGAAUGCUGUCCUUGGCAGGCAGGCAACUGAGUGUGAAUCUCCCUGAGGAUUUCCACUUUACUGUGGUUCAGGCUGGGCCUUCCCUGCUCUCCCCCGGCCCCCCAGCCAGGGAAAGCUGCCUGUGGAAUGAGGGGACAGGAUAUGGCACUGUGAGGCUCCCACAUGCCAGAGGCACCCCUGAGCUUUGCAUAGAUGGGUAGGACUUGGACUGUUGGGGCUGGAGUGGAGCCUCAGAAUUCUGGGCCCGAAGUGAGGGUCGAGGACUGCUCUCCAGAGAGCCCUCCGCGCGUGUGUGUGUGUGUGUGUGUGUGUGUGUGUGUGAUCCGUGCAUGCUGAGUCACUUGGGGAAGUUGUUCUUCUCAUGUAAAUGUCUUCAGCUUCCAGGGAGAUCCUUCUGCUGUCUGGACUUGAACUUCUCUGGGGCAGAACCUGGGCUCUGGGGGCUGCUAUUUGGGAAAUCACGCCCCCUGCUGCCCCCGGGCCAGUGCCCCGAGGAUACUGGAGGGGUCCUUGAGCCCAGUGGGGGUAGGGUGUGUGUGUAUGUGUGAGAGUGUGUGUGUGUCUGUGAGCAGGGGUGUGUGUGUGUGAGUGAGGGUGUGUAUGUAAGUUUAUGUGUGCAUGUGAGAGUGUGUGUGUGGGAGGGUGAGUGCAAGCAGGGAUGUAUGUAGAUGUAUGUGAGUGAGAAUGUGGACAUGUGCAUUGGUGUGUGUGAGUUGUGCAUGUGUGAGGUGUUAUUGGGGGUGAGGGUGUGUGCAUGUGAGUUGGUCUGUGUGUGAGUUGUGUAACGAGGGAGGGUGUGUGCAUGUGAAUUUGCAUGAGGGUGUGUGUGACUUGGUGUGUGAGUUGUAUAUGUGUGAGGUCGUGUUGGGAGUGAGGGUGUGUGCAUGUGAGUUGGUAUGUGUGAGGUUGUGUUAGAUGGGAUGAGGGUGUGUACGUGGGUCUGUGUGUGAGUUGUGUAUGAGGGAGGGUGUGUGCAUGGAAGGGAGUUGGUGUGCAUGGGAGUUGAUGUGUGUGAGGGUGUAUGUGAGAGGGUGUCUGAGGGUGUGUGUGAUAGUGUGUGGUGUGAGUUGAUGUGAGUCGUAUAUAUGUGUGUGUGAGUUGGUGUGCUUGUGAGUUGUGUGUGAGUUGGCAUGUGAGUUGUUUGUGUGCAUGUGAGUUGUAUGUGUGAAUUGGUGUGUGAGUUCUGUGUGUGUUUGUGUGCAUGUGAGUUGUGUGUGUGAGUUGGCGUGUGAGUUGUGUGUGUGUUUGUGUGCAUGUGAGUUGUGUGUGUGUGUAUGUGAGUUGUGUAUGUGAGUUGGUGUGUGAGUUGCUGUGCGUGUGAAUUAGUGUGUGAGUUGCUGUGUGUUAGUGUGAGUUGUGUGAGUUGAUGUGUGUUGUAUGAGUGGCUUGUGUAUGAGUUGGUAUGUGUGUGAGUUGAUGUGCAUGUGAGUUGCUGUGUGUCAGUGUGUGAGCUGGCAUGUGAGUUGGUGUGUAUGUGAGUUGGUGUAUGAGUUGUAUAUGUGUGAGUUGGUGUGUGUGUGUGAGUCGGUGUGAGUUGGCAUGUAUGAGUUGGUGUGUGAAUUGUGUAUGUGUGAGUUGCUGUGUAUGAGUUGGUACGCAUGUGAGUUGUGUAUGUGUGAGUUGGUGUGUGUGAGUCAGAGUUGGCAUGUAUGAGUUGGUGUGUGAGUUGUAUAUAUGUGAGUUGCUGUGUCUGUGAGUUGUGUACGUGUGAGUCGGUGUGUGAGUUGUGUAUGUGUGAAUUGGUGUGCACAGGCGUUAGCAUGCAUGAGAUUUGUGUGUGUGAGGGAGGGUGUGUUUGUGGGCAGGUGUGGAUGUGCCUGGGAGUGCCAGGCAGGUUGGGAGGGGUGCAUGAACUGAAACUCUGUGGCAGGCAUUUCUGAGCUCCCCUGGCAGAUCUGGCGUGGGAGGACAUUUGGACCCGAACUCAGGGCCCUUCUGGCUGCCCUGGCCCAGGCCUCUGUGUGUUCCUGCUCUCCUCUCUCUCUAGUCUCUGCAGUCUCCUGGGCUCUCCAGUCCCACAGGGGCCUCUCCCUUGGAAACCCGUGGGGAAUCUCACCACCUCUGUCUGCCCACCCAAGCCUCCUGGGGCACAGCAGACCGGAGGGCCCCUCAGGCCAGCACCUCCCGGAGUCCCCGUCCCCACAGUGGCCCUGGGGUCCCCUCUGGCCUCACACCCACUCCUCUUCCUCUCUCUCAAGAUUCGCCCAGUGCUGGGCCCCAGAAGCCAGUCUUCCUGGAGGUCCUCACUGCUCCCUCCCUUCCUGCAGCCUUCCCAGGCCCGCCUCCCGCCUCCCGCCUCCCGCCUCCCACCGUUUCCUGACCCAGGCUCCCAGGCCUCUCCCCCUCUUCCCUCUCACCAGGGUAGUUCUGUGGCCACAUGGUUGUGUGCUUUGUUUGGCUGCUGUCAUCUCCCCCAGGAAUGUGGUUCUCCCCCGUGAGAACCCAAAUAGCAGGUACUCAUCUCAGAACCACCCCCCUCCCCGCCAGGCCCAGGGGAGGUUUCCUGGUCCUCCCUGUGGCCGUGACUCCUUCACCCCAGGGCUCCCCCUUGGUGUCCAUGAGGCCCAGACGGUGACCCUAAGUCUCCCCUUGACUCACCUAUGUUUGGGGACAGCCCCUCCUUCCUGCAGGCCUGAGCUGGCCCCAAGCACAGCAACGACAGUGGUGCUGAUGGGAGAUGAUUGCACGGAGCCUGCUCCCCAGGACCUUCUGGAAUGGGAGAGUGCACUACCCCUCAGAAUCCCCCCUCCCCAUGGGGUCCUCUGGAGCAUCCCCUAGAGCCAGCCCCUACCCACAGGCCCUGAGCCCAGAGAAUGCGCUGGGUGAGCCUGGGGACAGUGCAGAGCCUGAGGUCUCCUCCCCAGAAGUAAGUACCGGGUCUGUGUAAAUUGCUUGGUUAGGAGGGCAGGACCUGGCGUCUUCACUAGGCUUCCCCAAAAUUGGGCUGGGCACAUAAUAGGUGCUUGCUAAAUAAAUGUUGAAAUAGACAAGCAAGUAGGCAGGGCGCGGUGGCUCACACCUGUAAUCCCAGCACUCUGGGAGGCUAAGGUGAGUGGAUCACCUGAGGUCAAGAGUUUGAGACCAGACCAAUAUGGUGAAACCCCGUCUCUACUAAAAACACAAAAAUUAGCUUGGCGUGGUGGUGGGUGCCUGUAAUCCCAGCUACUCAGGAGGCUGAGGCAGGAGAAUUGCUUGAACCUGGGAGGUGGAGGUUGCAGUGAGCCAAGAUCGUGCCACUGCACUCCAGCCUGGGUGACAGAACGAGACUUUAUCUCAAAAAAGUAAAAAUAAAAAAUAAGUAAAUACAUACAUAAGUACAAAUUUUAAAAGAUAAGCAAGGGGAUGGAAGGGGGGAUGCAGGCACAGGUUUGGGCCAUGAAGUUUCGUGAAGCCUCCUGGCCCAUGGCCCUCCUGGGGUCCACACCCGAGCUCCCGAUGGCGGUGGUGCUGAGUGUAGCCUGGCUGGGUCAGGCUCUGGCGCUUAGCAGGGUUCACUGUGGCUCUCUCCGACCUUGUUGUGGGGGCUGAAACAGAUCUGCCUCCCUCUCCUUCCUCCGUCUCUCAGGGUGGGUGUUUAUUCCCAAGCAGGGGGUCACCCAGAGAGCAGCCCGAAAGCUCCCUUGAGUCCUGAGGAAGGGGCAGCCAGGGGCGGACUGGGAGGAGGUGCAGCAGGCGUUGGGAGCAGCUCCUCCAAGUGCAGUGACCAUAUUUUUCUGAGCUGAACAGUGAGGACACGGGAUGUUGCCGAGGGCUUUCUCAGGUUUGUUUGUUACUGAAGGGAAAAAAAUCUUCCCAAGGUACGAAAGUUAAAGCUUACUUAGUGAUGUGAGGAAUGGCGUGUUUGUGGAAAGAACCUGAGUUUCCAAAAUCAGGGUUUAUCUGGAAAGGACAUAAUUCCAUGUGGCUAAUAUUUGGGGGCUACCUGGACCAACCUUGUCCUUAGUGGGAAGCAAAGUGGGCACGAUCCUGGCCUCAUAGAGGGACGUAGGGAGGCUGACAGUCUUCUAAUAAUUUCACAGUUUGGAGGCCUUUUAGGAGGUAACUGAUGAAGGGGUGGAGCUGGAUGGGUGGGGAAGCACAUUCCAGGCAGGGAACAGCAUAUGCAAAGGGCCUGUGGCUUGAGGGAGAGCUUUGAGUUUGAAGGACAGGUGGGCAGCCCCAGAGAGUGGAAUGUGACGAGUGAGAGGGAGAGGAGGUUGGAGAUGUGGGCAGGGGUCAGUCUGGGCGGCACCUAGCAGCCGUGAGAGUGUGAUGGGCUGUCUCUGGCUGGCAGUGGGAGCCAUGGAUGGUUGGACACAGGCGUGACCUGGUCAUCCUAGUGGAGAUUGAUGGUGACGAGGAGGAUGAUGGUAUUGGUAAUCACAGGAGGCACUGAGUUCAUACCGCGUGCCAAGCACCAUUUCACAAAUGGAAGUGAGGGCUCGGAGGGGAAGUGACUUAUCCAGGGUCACACCACUGGUAAAUGGAAGAAAUGGGAGUCAGACCACAUCCAUCUGGCCACACGGUCUGCAAGCUCGUCCUGCACGUCCUAUCCACAGAGCUGCCCCUUGUCCGGAUGCGGAAGCCGAGGGACACGCAGAUGACCACGUCUCUUGUCUCCCUGUGGUGCUGACUCCUGUCCGCUCUGAGUUCCAGGCUGGGCAGGGACUCCAGGUCACAGGGUUGGCCGGAGCUGGAAAAGCCCAGCUCAGUUCCUGCUGAGGCCCAGCAGGGGAAGUGGAGGUUGCAACAUCCGCGGAGGUUGAGGUUCCGGAGAAGCUGGGCCCCCAGCCUGUUCACUGGGGCACAGGUCAUGCUGCAGCCACAGCCCCACUAGCUGGUUUGGGGGUCAGGGACUCUGAGUUGUGCCCACAACUUCCCCCGGGAUGGGGGCAGCACUGGGACCCUCUUUCCUCCCGUGGAAGCAGAGUCAGGUGAAUGCACUGCUCUAGACCCACUAGCAGCAUUGAAAAAGCCCAUAUCAGGACAGGUGUGGUGGCUCAUGCUUGUAAUGCCAACACUUUGGGAGGCCAAGGCAGGUGGAUCGCUUGAGGUCAGGAGUUCUAGACCAGCCUGGUCAACAUGGUGAAACCCCCGUCUCUACCCAAAAUUUAAAAACUAGCUAGAUGUGGUGGUACAUGGGUAGUCCCAGCUACUUGGAAGGCUGAGGCAGGAGAAUUGCUUGAAUCUGGGAGGCAAAGGUUGCAGUGAGCCGAGAUUGCACCACCACCCUCCAGACUGGGGGACUGAGUGAGGCUCCAUCUCAAAAAAAAAAAAGCAAGAAAAUAAAAGAAAAAAGAAAAAGCCCUUAUCCCCUCACUAAUCGUUAGCAGAUGAAAACCCAGAUGAGAUGUCCUCUCCCACCCACAAGCGUGGCUACUAUCAGGAGGCAGAAGGAGCAAGUGCUGGAGGGGAUGAGGUGGAGGAACUGCAGCACUUGGGCAGGGCCGAUGGGGACGAAAAUGGUGCAGCCGCUGUGGAAAACAGCAUGGCAGUGCCUCAAAAACAUUAAAAAUAGAAUUACCAUAUGAUCUAGCAUUUCCACUUCUGGGUAUGUACCCAAAAGAAUGGAAAGCAAGGUCUCGAAGAGAUACUCAUGCUCCUGUCUUCCCAGCAACUUUACUCACAAUAGAGAAAAGGCGGAAGCAGCUCAGGUGUCCUCGGGCGCAGGAAUAAACAAUGCGAUGCAUACGUACGAUGGAAUAUUAUGUGGCCAUAAGAAGGAAACUGACACACGCUACAACAUGGAUGAACCUUGAAGACAGCAGGCUGAGUAAAACAGCCUGUACGAAAGGGCAGAUACAGUAGGAUCCCACUUAUGUGAGGUUCUAAAGGAGUUGCAUUCGUGAGACAGACAGUGGGAUGGUGGUUGCCGGGGAAAGGAGGAGUUAGUAUUUCAUGGGUACAGAGUUUAAGUUUUACAAGAUGAAAAGAGUUCUGUGGGUGGAUGGUGGUGAUGGUUGUACAAUACCAUGAAUGUACUUAACACUGCUGAACUGUGCACUUGAAAAUGGUUACAAUGAUACAUUUCAUGUGUAUUUAAAAGAAAUUUAUUACCAGUUCUCUUAUGUUAUUGAUAGUUGGCUUUCUUUGAAGUUUUUUUUUCUUUUUUCUAUUUUGAGACAGGGUCUCACUGUCACUCAGGCUGAAGUGUAGUGGAAUGAUUACGGCUCACUGCGUCCUUGAACUCCUAGGCUGAAGCGAUCGUCCCGCCUCAGCCUCCAGAGCAGCUACCACACCCAGCUCAUUCUUUACUUUUUUUGUAGACAUGGGGUCUCACUAUGUUGCUCAGGUUGGUCUAGGACUCCUGGCCUCAAGUCAUCAUCCUGUCUGGGCCUCCAAAGUGCUGGGAUUACAGGCGUGAGACAAAUCCCAGCCUUAAGUUAGCUGCUUUUGUAAGAAAUAAAAAUACCAGAUAGUAAUCGGCAUUACAGCAGUCAAGAAUUCAGAUGCUCAUGUUUCUGGGCAAGUGACCUUGCCUCUCUGAGCCUCAGUUUCCUCACGGGGAAAUGGGGAUCGUGAUGGCACCUCCCUCCUGGAGCCACUGUGAGGGCUCCACCAUGCCUCUGAGGUGCUCUGCCCAGCGGCCAAUGUGCAGUGAGCAACCAGCCCCCAGCCACCCCUAGGACUGGCAGGUCUUCCUUGAGCCUUUGGGUUUUGGGAGCAUAAGCACCGUAGGCCUUAGAGGAGAAAACAUCUCUUGCCCCACCCUCCACAUGAGGAAACAGAGGCCCAGAAGAGUCAAAGGACUUGCCAGGAUCCCUCAGCAUCUCCUGAACCAGAGCGUGGUUUUCCAGGAGUUUCCUCAGCACCUGGGCCAGGCUUCACCUGUGCCUGGGUGUGAGCUGUACUGGUCAGCAAGGCUCCCUCUGCUGCCAUAACAAAUGAACCCCACAUCUGAGCACCUUAACAAGGUCAAAGUUUGUUUCACAUUCAACAAAGUCUGCUGUGUAUCCAGGCAAUUCUUUUUUUUUUUUUGGAAGACAAAGUCUCUGUCUAAUCUCAGCUCACUGCAGCCUCCGCCUCCCAGAUUCAAGCAAUUCUCUUGCCUCAGCCUCCUAAGUAGCUGGGACUAUAGGCGCGUGCCGUCAUGCCCAGCUGAUGGCUGUAUUUUUAGUAGAGAUGGGGUUUCACCAUGUUGGCCAGGCUGCUCUCGAACUGCUGACUUCAAGUAAUCUGCCCAUCUCAGCCUCCCAAAGUGCUGGGAUUACAGUAUGAACCAUCGCGCCGGCCUCCAGGUGAUUCUUUGGGGUAACUGCCCUUCCUGUGAAGGCUCAAAAAUCCAGGCUGCCUUCAGCUCGUGACACCCCCAUCUCCAGAUCACUGAGGCAGGGUAAAGAGUGUCACAUCACGUCCUCCCAUGGCUCACUAGCCAGGGGGCCUCGUGCAGCCGCAAGGGUGGCAGGUCCUCAGAAAGAGGAAAACUGGCUACAGGUGAGCACCAGGUUUCUCCUCACAGUCAGUGUGUGAAUCCAGGUGCCCCUUUCAAAAUACAAACGAGAGCUUCCUGUUCUUCUGUCCUUGAAGAAUCCCAGAUGGGCCCUAGUAGAAAAGUAUUAUUGAUUGAUUUAUUUAUUUUUGAGACAGAGUCUUGCUCUGUCCCCCAGGCUGGAGUGCAGUGGCACAACGUCAGCUCACUGCAACCUCCACUUCCCAGGUUCAGGCGAUUCUCCUGCCUCAACCUCCCAAGUAGCUGGGAUUACAGACGUGUGCCACCACACCCAGCCAAUUUUUUUUUCAGUAGAGACCAGAGUUUCAUCAUGUUGGCCGGGCUGCUCUCAAACUCCUGACCUCAAGUGAUCCACCUGCCUUGGCUUCCCAAAGUGCAGGGAUUACAGGUGUGAGCAACCGCGGCUGGCCUCAGGCAGGUAUUUUUAACAGCCAAAUACUCUUCCACUGUGCACUCUUCCUGUUCAUCAUCAGUCCCCUGGGAUGGGUGUUUAAGGCAUUUCCAAAGUUCUGCUAUUAAAAACACGGGUGCAGUGAGCUUCUUUC